This 6236-nucleotide long non-coding RNA is filed under the name Triticum aestivum (bread wheat). Its description in RNAcentral is "long non-coding RNA (TAES_LNC014723)". Lineage: Eukaryota; Viridiplantae; Streptophyta; Magnoliopsida; Poales; Poaceae. The record is from RNAcentral.
GUUCAAUACCGAUGGGCGAUGGCUGCUCUCUCCUUUUUGUUUUGUGAAAGGACCUCAGAUUAAUUAAACGUCCAGCCAGAGAUACAAGGCACCCCACAUAGUGUGAAUGAUUUACUCAAGUUUAAGCUAUCCAAGGCGUUGGAUUUUUUCUGGACAUGGUUCAAAACAAAGAUUGUACUGACAUAUAGUAAUUACAAAGCUUACAUCACAGAAUGAUAUAAGAAAUGAUACUCAGUGUAUUGGAACACUGAUGUUGGUUUUAGAUAUGCAGUAAGAAGUUUCCCAGGAAGAAUCACUUUUCUAAACCAUGCACAUUUUCUCACAUUAUGCCAGUUAAAAGGAAGAGAAUUAAGAACAUUAACACAUAUCUUUGAUGAAUAUCAUUAUACUAUGUCCAAUGAUAUACCAUGUAUACAUAUGUAAAAGGUUAAAAGUGACAAAUAUUUAUCAAAAGAAACCAUGCCUAGGAGCUAGAUAGAUUCUGGCCAAAUAGAUUUUGAAUAAGGGAGUUGGAACUUUGCAGUUGAUUUUCUACAUCAAAUUUGGUAGCCUGGAGAUGCAGAAGAAGUAGGCACAAGGAGGCGAACAGGCGUAGUAAAUUUACUAUGUGUUAGUUGUUAAAUAUAAGCUACAGGUCCAAAUGUUGAUGCUCCUGUUUACAAGUCGUAUGAAAUGUUUUUUCAAAUGCUUUAUGAUGUUUUUGCUUAGUUGCCUCUGAAGCACAUAAUUUUAUUUUCUCAUUUUUCUCAUAGUGCCUAGCGUUCUGAUGGGAUAUGGGAAGAGAUGGGUGAAUGACCUAUAGGAUUUAAUAGCCCGUGCUCCCUUGCUAUCUGCCUGCAACACAAGCUCAUACUCUACUACAGGGAGGCUGCGGUCAUACGAGGACAUCAUCAAGAUCUUCGAUCGGUGCAACCAACUGAUUGAUGUUGCUGUUUGGAUGGCCUGUAGUUCGAGUCAUUCUGGGUUUUCUACUGUUAUACCUCGCAUCUAGAAGAUCUUUGGUGGGUUUCAUAAUCGUAAGGUCAAAUGGCAUUAUACAAAUUGAGUGCUAUUACCAUGCAUGUGACUGUUCUGUUUGAAGUAAGUCAAACUCUAUUAGGUACUCCCUCCAUUCCACAAUGUAGUGCUUCCUCUAUCCUCGUGCUUCAAGUUUGACCGUAAAUUUAACUAUCAAGACUAAUUGCGGCGGGAGCAAAAAUUAUAUCAGUGAAUUCGUAUUCGAAAGAAGUUUUCAAUUAUACAAUUUUUUCUCCUGCCGCAGUUGGUCUCAUUGGUUAAAUUUAUAGUCAAAGUUGGACCUCGGGAAGCGUAGGCGCACUAUAUUUUGGAAUGAAGGGAAUAUGUGAUGUUUCCAAAUUGAAUAAGUAGAAGUGCACAUCUGACAUAUAUCUCGAAUUAAUGUUUCUAGAAAUAAUGAGUUAAUUUUAUGAACACCGAUGGGCAAACGUUUUAUCUUUAUUUGAUGAUCCAGAGAGAGGUCAACUUCCAUUUUUACUGUCAUUAACCUUUUAUUGCCAUCUUGAUAAGCACAUGGUGAAUUAUGUACUAAGUGUAUAUUUCAUGCUUGUUAUAAGGUCUCAGAUCAAUGUUGAUGCUCUUGCUUCUCCUUGUAUUUCUCAUAUAUUAGAAGCUGCUGGAAACAUUUAUAGUUUCCCUGGCAUGUUUAGCAUGUAGUUAUUUCCCUUAUUUAAAUGCAGAUGAAAAAUAAUAAUCUAGAUGCAUCUAUUUCUCUUUUUGGACCAGGGGAGUGUUCCCCGUUUGAAUAAUAAACACCUAGAGUGGCAGUAUUGCUAACGGUGAAAUGCAUUUAAAAUAUCUGUAGGUUGUACCAGCUUGAAGAAAUAUUCUAACUGAAAAUAUCUGCAUAGGUUAUACGGGCCAGAGUAUCCAUUGUCGACGCCAUCUUCGCUGUUGUACCCAUAUUUGGGGCCAACCAAACUGUGUAGCCGUCUGUCAUCUUGGAAGUCUCCAGACGAGCUCGUGCCCAAGAAGCUCCGGUGUCAGGAUAGAACGGUAAUACAUGCUUGUGCUUUAAAUAUAUGUUUAAACCAUAAAAUUGAUUUGUUCCUUUCAAUGAUAUGUCAACAUGCAUUUCCAAGUAUAUGCACUACAUGUUGCUAUCAAAUGACUCACUUCUAAUGCAUUGCUUCUUAGCUGAAUAUAUGUUUGUUUGUUAUACUUUUUUCCUUAGAAACUAUUGUUCUCAAGUGGAGAGUGGAGACACAAUUGUAAAGGUCAUCCCUUGUAAUCUCAACUGAAAUAAGCGGAUGUCUAGCUGAUGUUGGCAUACAUGGAAAUUCGUCUUGUCUUUUAUUGGUUAACACCCAAUAGGCUUCACCAAAUUGUUUUGAAUUUUGCUUUUAUACAUCAACUAGAUGCUUGUCAUUAUAUUUAAUUGGCAACAUCAUGUAAACCUGUGUACAAAAAAAAUCUUGGAAAACUCAGGUGGCAGUUAGCUAUGAAGUAUAUCCAUUUUAUUACAACUUGCUUAUGAUGUACUAUACUUGUCCAACACAAAACUCAAACUCACAACACAGGUACCUAAAUCAUAUUUGUAAAUCAACAUCAGAAAAGAAAAGGAAAAAACAGUUGGUUCCAACGAACAGGUCGAGCAGCUCACGCCGCUUGCAACUAUUUCUUUGGGUACAUUUUCAUGCUUCAUCAGGAUAGAGGGAGGCAUCACCAUUCACCAAGUCUAUGUAUCUUUCCCAAGCCAGGCACAGAUGAAGUCUCGUCUUUUUUUUUAGAAACGAUGUCUCAUCUUGUUGAUGCACGUGAAUUUCAUGUCCAUGCUUACUAGUAAAUAUAAGAGCGUUUAGAUAACUACUUUAGUGAUCUAAAUGCUCUUAUAUUUGUUUACGGAGGGAGUACAUAUGAAUGAUAUUGAUAGAUGCUUGCUUGAUUGGGAUGUGCACAACAACGUUCCAUGUUGAUUUGUCAGCAUUCUUAUCAAUUAGGAAAUCUCCAUAACCCAAAAAAACAGAGUUAGAACAACUUUGAGCAACCUGCCGUUUAGUUAUCACAGUUGCAACUUGCAUGAAACCAUAUGCUCAACAGAACCAGAUUAUCCUACAACUAAAACUCCAACAUCAUAGUAAUUCUCUGGGUAAAUUUUGAUCAAACAUUUCACAAUACUAUGAGUAGUUGCCACAGUUCAGGAUAGUGUGACACUUACCUGUCAAUAGAAUAACACCAAAAGUAUAGUCCGAUAAUUAAGAUUCAGGUUAUUCCAAGAAUAGCACAUGAACUAGAAGUCUAACAUCAUGCACAUUGGUCAACUAAUAAAACAUAUAUAUGGCUAUAAGCCUAUUGCCACCAAUGCUUCAUUGAGUUUCAUCCUUGUUAUGGCCACAUUGGUUUGCCCCAUACAUAAAAACUUGCAUACUCUGAAACACUAAGAAUAUAAAACAGCCAACACACACCAAGCAAGGUUACACAGAAUUAGAAAAUAGCAGUCGUGCGGAGACGAACAAUUUCUUUCGGAAUAGAACUCUAAUACCCUAUCUUCAAUCUUCAAAACCACUAUAUUCUCCAGAAAGAGUAUAAAUAUCCAUAUUUAGAAGUAGAACAAUCAUCAGCUUAAUAGUGGACUAUAAUGUCAUAUUUUUCAGUUCGCAAAAGUUGCACAUCUAAUCUACUAUGCAUACUCACAUAGAACAAUAAAUGCACUAUAUAUAUAUCCAAAUAACAACAAAUAAAUAUGCCUUUUCUUCACAGGUUGCAUGGCAAGAAUAUAAUUGUUGUGAUUUCAUUUAUUUUCUAAUAUGUUUGCUCACGCAGCAAAUACAUAGCCAAGCAUGCAUACAUUUUUGUUAAAUCAAAGGACUAAUGGUCACUUUUGCAUUUCUGUUUCUUUGUUGAUGCACUUUUUGCAUGAUUGACAAACAACCACUCAUCAAAAGAUCAUGAAAAGAAGUAUGUACACUCACCUUGCAAUCAGCCAACCUAAUAUGAUGCUUUCAUCAGUGGACAGAACCAACAGCAUUGACCAUAUCUAAGGCGACCACACUUUGGCAUGAAUCAAAUUCACAUCCGCCAAUUUUGACGGAGGGAAUUUGAGCAGCUGGAGGUGCCAUAGAUGGGAGGAGAAACUGGCUGUUGGGAUGCACCCGUCUGCAAGACGCGGCGGCGAUACAGACGACAUGGAUGGCAAGCGGAGAUUAAGGCCUCGUUUGGCACAAGAGGUUUUGAGGGUAUUUUCCUCGCGUGGCCCAGAAAACCUGCAAAACCUCGAGGCCCCAUUUGGUACACGAGGUUUCCUCGGCCCAUCCGCUCCGAUCCCCUCGUUUCCACGCGAUUCAGAAGCCUCGCCUCCUACCUCGCGGAAGCACAGGCACACGCACAAAGCGAGACCGCACCGCACAGGAAGGGAGACGGCGCCCCUCUUGCCGUCCCUCCUCCACGCCAGCCGGAAACUUCGCCCUCCCCUACCGUGCCGCCCCCUACCGUCCCCUUUUCCCCGCUACAACCAUCUGCGCCGCCCCCUACCACCCCUUUCUGCCCGGUUUGUUCACAUCUGGUUCCUCAAGACGGUGGCCGGAGGCGACAUGCCCGGUCCGGAGAAGCUAGAUGCCGCCGGAGAACCCUUGCCUUCCUACUGUCUAGAUGACCCCAAAGCUAGACCUAGCUUGUUCCAUCUUCUAUCUUCGUUUUGAUUCGAUCCUGGCGAGCCCUAGACUGGAUCGAUCCAUCUCCUUUUAGUUCCUAGUGUUUUUGCUUUUUAUUGAAUCCUGGUGGUUGAGUUCUUGAUCCAUGGAUGGUCUUGAUCUGUGCGUGGUUGAGUUCUUGAUCCAUGGGUAGUUGAGUUGUAUUUAUCUGUCUGACGCGUGUGCAUGUUUUGAUUGAACAGAAUGUAGUCUGGGUGUUUUGAUUGAACAUACUGUCCAAGAUUACUGUACAAUUUACAAAUAAUACUCAUAAAAAAAGUUUGGACAAAUAUGCUAGAACCAGAUUGAUCUCUUGUUAGUACUAAAUAUGCUUGAACCAAAUUGCUUGAGAUUGUUUUUACUAAAUAUGCUUGAACAAGAUUCGUCUCUUGUUAAUAUGCUUGAACCAGGUUUUGCGCCAUUCAUUCUGGAAAUUAUUUUUACUGAAUAUAUGCUUGAACCAGAUUGCGCGGUUAUGGCGGUUUAGAGGACAUUUUAUUUUUGUCAUGAAAUGUGUUAUCAUAUCGUUACCCUACGUUUGAUUCAUGCUAAUUAUGUAAUACAGACACUCUGUUCUAAUUUCAAUUUGAUAGGAAGAUGCCCUACAAACAAAAUGUUCAACUUGGUUGUAACUCGUGUUCUGUAGCAAGUGAAAGAUUGGAUUUUUAACUGUUUUGCACCAUGUCAUCUCUAUAUGGCAAACCCUGUCAACCAAAUGCAUUUUUAUACAAAGGGGAUUUUGGCUGGUGGGGGAUUGGGGAAUCAAGGGGAUUGGGUGGAAGGGAGGGAUUCACCAAAUCCUCUCCUCCAGAAACCUCUCAAAUACUCCUCUACCAAACAUAGCCUAAUGGUGGAGACUGCCGGGAGGACGCAACGUCCGUGAUUUGGGGAGACAAAAGAGAGACCAAGGGGACUGGAACCUCGUUCAGAAAAGGGGGAUUGGAACCUCGUAAAAGAAAAAAGGAAUUGGAACCUGCAGCCCGCCUCCACGGACGAAGAUGAAGGGCCUGUUUGGUUGGAGAUUUGGCCUGUUUGGUUGGAGAUUUAAUUUGCCAUGCCUAAGGUGAGGUAUCAGCCACACCUGUGGCGCGCCGCAGAAGUGUGGCGAGCAAAACAAACGCCAGACCUUUUGACGAAAAUCCUACUGGAGAAAUCACUAUGCACUGUGGCAAGCCAAACAUUAGUAUAGAACCAAACGCAUGCCUGAAAAGUUGUGGCACGCCACACCUUUGGCUUGGCAAGCUAAGGCUGGAACAGCCCCGAAAAGAUAUCCAACUACAACCAAGACAAAGAGAAGAGAAAAUAGAACCUGCUGUGGAGCAGAAGAAGCCGAUACGGCCGGCGUGGAUCCGGCAUGCGGCCAUCCAGAGGCAUGGCAACACGCUCUUAUCAGCUGACGAAACGACAGGGCAACCCUCCCCCGCGGCCACACCGACAACGAAACACGGCAGGAAUGUCUGCUGCCCCUCUCCUUCUCUCCCACAAGCGCCGCCAAAGAAAGAAGAUCUGAUGUAGAGGAAGAAGAAAAUGCCAACAACAGAUCCGGACCCGACUCCGACGAAGAAGCAAGCACCAAAGACCCCGACAAAG